Molecule: long non-coding RNA, 453 nt
Filed under: Androctonus crassicauda
Lineage: Eukaryota; Metazoa; Arthropoda; Arachnida; Scorpiones; Buthidae
Source: RNAcentral
AAGUCACGAUAUAAUGCUGGAGUGCCUUGUUGUGGAGGAACAUUCUCUAGUAUAAAUCGAUAAAAAUAUAGGCAUACAGGCUCCAGCUUCAACGAUGGGUACAAAGAUUGAAAGUCAUAAGUCGCCCAUGUCAUAUUCUCGCUUACAGAUAUAUUCUUUACUCGCUCUAAAACAUCUUCUGGGGACUGCACGGAGUUUUCCGAUUCCCCUAUGACACUAUUACACCAUCGGACUAAUGUUCGUUCGAGUUCAUUAGUCGGCGCAUUCCGUUUUUCUACAAUCGGGCGAUACUCAAUCGGUGUUUUAUGCGUCUUAAUGUAUGCAAAGAUCCGUGGACUAUUUAUUGUUUGUUGUCUAUUUACUUUCCAUAUUUGCGGAAAAUCUUUAGAUCCAAUGAUCCUGCUCACUCGUCUCUCUAUCUUCCUCGUAGGAUCACCAUCCAAUACCUCUGCC